CGGAGAGUAGCGGCAGGGGGUUGGCGGUCGUGACCAUAAUCGCCGCUAAUCAAGAAGGAUCCUGGCAGAGAUGUGUGGCGGUCAGGUAAAAGCCACAAAACUCCCCUGGAUAGCGGCUGGGGAGUGAACACCGCUGCUAAAUUAGGCAGUAUAUCUUCGGGCUUACUCGUUUCACUUCCUGGUGUGAACAAAGCGGGAGAAGAGGCGCCAAACAAAACCACCCCACCCGGCGACUUCUUCAAUAAACGCCACUAGAAACCCGCGAGUUGAGUUUGGUAGCGCGCCAACCAAGAGCGGGAGCACAGCCGAGAAAUAUCAAGGAAGAACCCACCCAGAAACCCCCAAUUUUUCAAGCUUUCCCCUAUCAUCCACAAUUCCUGAAGCUCAUACCCUCCCCUGUCGAGUUGCGCAGCUGCCUUCGCGACCAGUCCCCUGGCACUGGUUAGUCCUGAC
This is a long non-coding RNA of Arachis duranensis, 453 nucleotides long. RefSeq lists it as uncharacterized. The record is from RefSeq and is a predicted model, not a curated record. The transcript has 3 exons. Lineage: Eukaryota; Viridiplantae; Streptophyta; Magnoliopsida; Fabales; Fabaceae.